CAGUCGCCGCGGUAAUACGUAGGUGGCAAGCGUUGUCCGGAAUUAUUGGGCGUAGAGGGCUCGCAGGCGGUUUCUUAAGUCUGAUGCGAAAGCCCCCGGCCCAACCGGGGAGGGUCAUUGGAAACUGGGAAACUUGAGUGCAGAAGAGGAGAGUGGAAUUCCACGUGUAGCGGUGAAAUGCGUAGCGACGUGGAGGAACACCAGUGGCGAAGGCGACUCUCUGGUCUGUAACUGACGCUGAGGAGCGAAAGCGUGGGGAGCGAACAGGAUUAGAUACCCCCGUAGUCCCUGUCUCUUAUCA
Molecule: ribosomal RNA, 301 nt
Filed under: uncultured bacterium
Lineage: Bacteria
Description: partial 16S ribosomal RNA
Rfam family: Bacterial small subunit ribosomal RNA
Source: RNAcentral